GGUGCAUAGCAAACAUAGAAAAGCCAAAACGAUUUAUAAUUUGGAACAAGCACUAAUCACCUGGAAAGCAUUCAGAGAAAGUGAUAGUACUAUAUACUAGAAGAAAGCAGUACGGUCGUCAAGCGAAUAUCCAAACACAAGGAAAAAAAAAGUCAUAGAGGAAGAGUUGGUGGAACAAUGAGAAGAUAGGCUGCUUUAUCCCUCAAACAAAGAACGCAAAAGUGAUCCAAGAAACAAAGGGGAAGAGAAGAACGUAAUGAUGAAAAAAUGGCCGCAGAUGGAGUAUAUCCCGGACUUUUGAGAUGGUGAAAAAGUUCCAAAAGUUGCUGGAAUUUCAGUCAAAUCUGGGUCACAUAUGUCCUGAGAGCAAAGACAGAGCAGCAGAUGGUG
RNAcentral lists this long non-coding RNA (390 nucleotides) under Sorghum bicolor (sorghum). Its description in RNAcentral is "long non-coding RNA (SBIC_LNC015234)". Lineage: Eukaryota; Viridiplantae; Streptophyta; Magnoliopsida; Poales; Poaceae. The record is from RNAcentral.